Molecule: long non-coding RNA, 1143 nt
Organism: Cydia pomonella (codling moth)
Lineage: Eukaryota; Metazoa; Arthropoda; Insecta; Lepidoptera; Tortricidae
Exons: 3
Source: RefSeq, a predicted model, not a curated record
CCAGACAAAGGACAAUGGGCACUUUUGUAUGGGGAGUGUCCCAUGGAUGUAUACUGUUGAGACAUAUGUCGUUUUAAAGCUCUUAAUCGUAGUAUUAUUUUAUUGUAUGGCACCAACCUUGGACCACUUGCAGGGACCGAGCUAUAUAAAAAAAGAAGUUGCGCAUAGAAGCAGUUAUAUUUCCUUAUACGCGGGAUAUAAAAAGUUUUAGCGUAUUUUAUUCGAAAGAAUAUAAAAAAUGCUUUAUGUUUUUUGUAUCAACACCAAUGAUAAAGUAUUUAAAGGGACACAAUGUACAGUUUUAAAAAAUCGUCAUUCUAAAAAUUACUUGAUACACAGCGAAAUAAGAGUGUAUACAAAUGCCAUGUAUAUCAUAUGAAAAGUAUUUUUAUAAGCUAUUUUUCGUAUAGUAUAACUGGGGUCAAAUCGUUGCAGGGACCAAAAUAAAACCAUUUAAUGAGUUAAUUAAUUGUAGUUAAUUACGCCUUAACUUUUCUACUCAACGCCAGAUGUCGCUCUAAAGCAAAAUUCUACUUGACGUAAAACAUUUAUACAUAGCGGUAAUCUCGUCAGUCUUACUCCAUCAUUUUAAAAAGUAUAGACUAGUUUAUGGUUUUCUAAAGUUAUGUCAAGAUGACUCUGAAUGUAAUAUUGUCAACAAUAAUUGUCAAAACACGCAAUUUAAAAUAUUCAACAUUGUAAUUACAAAAUAGUAUAUUUCUAAUACGCUAUAAUUUUCUCCAAUCGAAAGGCACUCCAUUCCAUUGAUCUCAGAGAGUAUGCUCCUUGAUGAUCUUCACUAUUCAUGGGCAUUUUUAAGUUAUUCAUCGGACACUGAGGCCAUUGAAGUUUUAAGCUGGCGGCAUCAAAAUGGAGUACCUAGAAACCAUACGGCAAUAAUGAGGAUGCAUCGACAUAAGAAGAAUCGAACAUGGGCAAGAUAAAGUUCAAGAAAAAAGCAAAUAUAAUGUGUACUUGUGUGUAGUCAAAGAAAGUUGAAAAAUAAAGCAUAAUUAAUGGCCAUAGAAUACAGAACCAAUACACGAACAUUAAGACUAUUAAAAAUAGACAUAUAGGUUGAUCGUACUACUCGUACUAAUGUAUUUCUUUUGUUCAAUUAUAUUAUUGCAUUAAAGUUAGAUU